RNAcentral lists this ribosomal RNA (497 nucleotides) under uncultured bacterium. RNAcentral's name for it is "partial 16S ribosomal RNA". It matches the Rfam family "Bacterial small subunit ribosomal RNA", at positions 28 to 507 of the family's 1533-position model. The record is from RNAcentral.
GAUGAAGGAGGGGGGAGGGGAGAAUACAUGCAAGUCGAGCGAACAGACGAGGAGCUUGCUCCUCUGACGUUAGCGGCGGACGGGUGAGUAACACGUGGAUAACCUACCUAUAAGACUGGGAUAACUUCGGGAAACCGGAGCUAAUACCGGAUAAUAUAUUGAACCGCAUGGUUCAAUAGUGAAAGACGGUUUUGCUGUCACUUAUAGAUGGAUCCGCGCCGCAUUAGCUAGUUGGUAAGGUAACGGCUUACCAAGGCAACGAUGCGUAGCCGACCUGAGAGGGUGAUCGGCCACACUGGAACUGAGACACGGUCCAGACUCCUACGGGAGGCAGCAGUAGGGAAUCUUCCGCAAUGGGCGAAAGCUUGACGGAGCAACGCCGCGUGAGUGAUGAAGGUCUUCGGAUCGUAAAACUCUGUUAUUAGGGAAGAACAAAUGUGUAAGUAACUAUGCACGUCUUGACGGUACCUAAUCAGAAAGCCACGGCUAACUACGUG